RNA transcript from Xiphophorus hellerii (green swordtail), 4640 nucleotides. It is a transcript of the gene named myelin-associated glycoprotein-like, with no coding region annotated. NCBI's taxonomy places the organism in Eukaryota, Metazoa, Chordata, Actinopteri, Cyprinodontiformes, Poeciliidae. The transcript has 4 exons. The record is from RefSeq and is a predicted model, not a curated record.
ACUCUGUGAUAAUUUUAACGUCCAAAAACUAAAACAAAACCAUCUGCUUUUGACCUGCUGCCUGGGUUUAAUCCUGACGAGAGCUUGAUGCUGGUGAAGGAGCUGAGAAUGUCAGGCUGCUGUUGGCAGUACACAAAUACAGUAAGUUAUCCCUUAGGUGGAUUAGAGAAAACACAAAAGCUUCAGGUAUACCUGGAACACAGGAAACAAGGCAACAAGAGACUGGAGAUACAAGAGACACAAGAAGUUCACUAGAAAUCUAGAGCAGACUAGAGCUACCAUCAUAGGUAAUCAUAGCUUUUACUUGUAUAGUGCUCUACCAAGUGCAAAGGAUCCAAAGUGCUUCACACUACACCCUUUCACAUACUUAUUCACGCAGUGAUGGUGGGAAGCUACUGGAUAGUAGCACACAGUCAGGGGCACCAGUGCUACCAUGCACUGGUCCUUUGACCACCACUAGCAGGCAAGGUGAGUGAAGUGUCUUUUCCAAGGACACAACAACCAACCAAUUGAGGGCCGAACUUAAAGUCCCUGUGUGGUGGUUCAGGUGGCUCCUGCCAUCAAAAAUGACCCCUUCUCUGGUGACUGUGAAGGACAAUUCCCACACUGUUUAUUUGUGUUUUAGUACAAAGCCUCCAUAGAUUGAAAUUAAUUAUUUAAUUCAACCUUGUGUAAUGCAUGUUUUAUUUUAAGAUUUGUGAGUUGUUUGCUCCUUGCUAUAGAAAGCCACAAAACCAAAUGUUUUGUGACCAUAUUGGUUGGAUGGAUGAGAUCAGAUAUCUAAGUAAAAAUAGAAAGGUGGUGGUGAUAAUUGUUUUUGUCAUGUUGGUUUUACUUCCUCUUCAGUGCCUCCGUGUAUAUAUGAGUUACUUAUAGAGAAUGAUGCCUUUUCUGCAGACCUCAUGAACAUGCACAGUAAGUCAUUUUGACCUGCUCUAUGUAAGGCAUACUAGGUUAAAAAAUAUUUUGUUUACUGAUUUUGGUUUUCUGUGAUGGAAUAUUAGAUAAAUAAGUCAUCACCUAACAGCGACAAGCUGUAAGUCAGGGAAGUAUUUGGCUGAGUAGCACUUUGGCAUUAAUAGGCUAUAUCUAUUUUGUUACAUAUGACUGCAAUGUUUCCUUUUUGAUUGCUAUAGAAAUUUUUACUGUUUUCCCACUGAUAUGCUGUGUAGUCCACCAGUUUCAACAGGGAUGAGUGAAUGAGGCCAAUUUAUAUUAAUAACUGUCUCUCAUUAUCUGAUCCAUUGAAAUAUAAAGCUUCGGGUCUUCCCAUUUAUAAGUGAGGGACAUGGUAUUGAGAAAAAAAAAUGCUUGGAAAAGGUUGUUUAUUAUGCUCCCUUUAUAUUCUUACAAGCAUGUUGACUGGAUUCCUGCUUUAUUUUUUCAGGACUCAAUUCUCAAGAUAAUUGUAGAUGUAAUUAUCUUAAAGAUUGUAGAUGCUCAAGAUAAAGAAUACAUCAGUCAUAUUUUAUAUUAACCUAUUGAAGAAAGGUUGUAAAACAAACAUGAACAAUGUCUUAUCUGUAAUUUCUAGUCUAGAAAAAUGGCUGGACUUCUGAUUUUUCUUCUCGUUGGUUGUUUCCUGCAUGGUGAGUCAUAACCAAAAUUUGUUUGUGAUUAGUAUUAUUUAAUACCACAAAUGCGUUCAAAAACAUACACUGUAUUUGUGAAGUAAAAAGAACUGUUAAAUAUUCUCGAAACUUGUGCCACUCUUAAUGUGACAUCUACAAUGUCUAAUAUAGGUCAAAAGGACAAAUAAACCAAUUGUUAUGGUUUAUCUUAUUGUGAGUUCUUGACACUUUCCUCUCUAACCGGUAUGUUCUCAGUCAGUUCAUGAACUAAAGGGCGUGGUGAUUUGUAUCUGAAAAAACUGCAGGCAUCCGUUCAAAGAUGUGGCGUCCUUUUAUUGUCGCUCAACUUACAAUUCUUGAUGCAACAAAACAAAAUGAUCAGCAAAUAUCACACUUAUAACUCCUUUUUGAUAACACAGUUGCUUAACUAUUGAACUACUGCAAGCUACUACAAAAAACACCGGGUCUGCCACAAAGUUCCAACACAUUAAGGCUCUGAUAGGUUGUCGUUGAUCAUGAUUGACAGGCAGACCAGCCAAUCACAGUCCAGACAAAUCUACAAGGCGAAGUCCAGUGAACUUGUGGUAUUUUCCACAGUUCACCUCAACAAGAUUCAUUUUCCAUGUGUAAAUCUGGCACCGCUCAGCCCAGCUGUUCUCAGAUGAAGGACAUGGCAUUGAGAAGUUGCAGGUUCCCAGAUUGCACAUUAUUUGUUUCUCUUGUGCUGUCCUUUCUGCAUCAUUCAUUCAGCAAAUAAAUUAGCUUUAAGUCAUGUAUACCAGGUAUACAACCAAAAUGAUAUACACAUCAUCUUGGUUGUAACAGAGGAUACACCAGGAAAAUUCAAUAAACUCAACAAAAUUGAGUGGAUGCUGAUGAUCCAUUCCUGUGGUAGAGUGACAUUUUUACAUACAAACAUGUAACACAGUGUUGUAUGCCUCCCUAAGAAUUAUAUUGCAGGUCAGCAGGGCUGUUGUAAGUCAUUAUGGUAACCUACACACAAAUGCUUUGUGGUGGCGCACCGCUGCUAUGACCACCGAAGCUAUAUACUCAUCUUUUUUCCUUUUUUUUCUUUUUCAGGUACCAAGUGUAACAAGUUCGAGAUUUCUUUACCAUAUUAUGUACAAGUUUUCAAAGGAUCCUGCAUGACUAUCCCCUGCUCCUUUGACAUCCAGAAUGAAUUUGAAGGCCUUUUGAUUAGCACAUGUAAAGCAGAGUGGGUCAUUUACAAUCAAAACACACAACUAGUAAACCAUACAACGGAAAACCUACCAAAGAAAGACUGCACUACCACCUUCAACAAUAUGCAGCCUGGUCAUAGCAAAACCUAUUAUUUCAGACUGGAAUGUCCCAGUAGGCUCAUAUGGACCUAUACAAAUGAUUCUGUGAAAAUUAAUGUCACAGAUAAUCCUCCCUCACCAACUCUGACUCCAUCCACUCUGGAGGUGAAAGAGGGAACCUCUGUGAGACUGACAUGUUCUGCUCCAGCUCCUUGCCCGUCUGAUCCUCCAGCUUUGACAUGGUCUCCCAAACUGGGAGAGAGUCAGGUGAAACUGCAAGAGAAUCAGGACAAAACUCAGUUUCAGACCUCGGUUUUGACCUUCAUUGCCUCACAUAGCCAUGAUGGUGAGAAAAUCUCCUGCACAGCUGUCUACAAUAAACAAGAUGGAAACCCCAGUGUAUCUGUUACCACAGAUUUAACAGCAAGGAUUUUGUUUCCUCCAGUGAUCCUGGACUCAUCUAUUUGCACCAGAGCUGCAAAUCACGUCAGAUGUUCCUGUGAAACUGUUGGAAGCAGUCUCAUGUUACAAUGGGUUGUGGAUGGACAGCAGGUUAUCCAUUCUAACAUGAUUUCUAUCUCCACUGAGACUCUGAAUAGUACACAUCUGAAGAGUGUCAUCAUUGUCAAUGAACCACAGGACAGAAAUCUGUCAUCAUUGCUCUGCUUUAGCUUCAACUCUGUAGGAUCAGCCAGGAAACAGUUUUGUACUGAAUGCAGCAUAACAGGUAAUCACAGUGUGUCUAUUAUGUCUGUACAGUGUGUUUGUUUAAAUAAAUGUAGAUAUAGGGUACUUCUGAGUAUUUACCUUACAGUAUUUUGCAACACAACAGUGAGAAAAGGUUCUAAUUUUGAAAUUAAAUGUGAUAUAACAUAUAAUUUAUUCAGCAUAAAUUUACUGAAUUUGAAGACUGGUGGAAGAUUUAGAUUGUAAUACUGGAUAUGGUCAAUGAAACUAAACUUAGCUCCAUAUUUAAAAUUAGUAUCAGACAGCUGGUGUAUAAUCUCAUGAUAUGAUUUACUUUCAUAGCUGCCCCUUGCUCAAUGCAUAUACAUGUGAAGUGCCCCACUUAAUAUAAUUGUGUAUGACAUGUCUAAAACAGUUUAUUGCUCAAAGUAAUUUGGUAUGCAUUGUGCAUUUAUUGUUGUAUUGUGUUCCUCCUCAUUAAUAGAAACAUGUUACUCGACAUUACAAACCCAACAUUGCUUCUGUCUAUACAUAUCCAUGAUUAUUAGUGUAAGAACUACCUUUGUUCAGCAUUUUUUCAUCAUUCCCUAUGACUUCUUUGACAAAGGUGUGAAAAUAUAUUUCUCUGGAGAAAGUGUAUUUAAUAAGCUCUGUCAGAGUUAUAUCUUGAUCUUUAUUUUUCAAAUUUGUAUUUCAGAUAAAAACCUGAUGUUUGCGUUCAUUGCUACUACUGUCGUCUUAAUAACUCUAGUCUGUGUCUUGCUGUUUGCUAUCAGGUAAGUGAGUAGUUCAGAGGAAGCCUGUUCAGUUUCCCCUUUGUGUUUUACGACUUUUUUAUGAUUAUAUAUAGGUGUGCAGCAAAACAUUAAAAUUGACAACAUCUUUCAAUAUCUUAUUUCAGGUAUCUGAAGAUUCAGCAAAACAGUCUAAAUAAUAGUGCAAAGAAGAGGAAAAAGAUACCACACACAGAAGAAGAUCCCAUCUAUGUCAACACAAGGAGGCCGAGACAGGCAGAAUAAGCUAGACAAUUAUAACCUGCUUUUUUAUUGCUGUGGAAAAAAAAUUCAGCUCUGAUGUUUCGCUGAAUUUAAUCAAGCAAAAU